Molecule: ribosomal RNA, 643 nt
Filed under: Parengyodontium album
Lineage: Eukaryota; Fungi; Ascomycota; Sordariomycetes; Hypocreales; Cordycipitaceae
Description: SSU rRNA
Rfam family: Eukaryotic small subunit ribosomal RNA
Source: RNAcentral
ACUGCGAAUGGCUCAUUAUAUAAGUUAUCGUUUAUUUGAUAGUACCUUACUACUUGGAUAACCGUGGUAAUUCUAGAGCUAAUACAUGCUAAAAAUCCCGACUUCGGAAGGGAUGUAUUUAUUAGAUUAAAAACCAAUGCCCUCUGGGCUCUUUGGUGAUUCAUGAUAACUUCUCGAAUCGCACGGCCUUGCGCCGGCGAUGGUUCAUUCAAAUUUCUUCCCUAUCAACUUUCGAUGUUUGGGUAUUGGCCAAACAUGGUUGCAACGGGUAACGGAGGGUUAGGGCUCGACCCCGGAGAAGGAGCCUGAGAAACGGCUACUACAUCCAAGGAAGGCAGCAGGCGCGCAAAUUACCCAAUCCCGACACGGGGAGGUAGUGACAAUAAAUACUGAUACAGGGCUCUUUUGGGUCUUGUAAUUGGAAUGAGUACAAUUUAAAUCCCUUAACGAGGAACAAUUGGAGGGCAAGUCUGGUGCCAGCAGCCGCGGUAAUUCCAGCUCCAAUAGCGUAUAUUAAAGUUGUUGUGGUUAAAAAGCUCGUAGUUGAACCUUGGGCCUGGCUGGCCGGUCCGCCUCACCGCGUGUACUGGUCCGGCCGGGCCUUUCCCUCUGUGGAACCUCAUGCCCUUCACUGGGUGUGACG